RNAcentral lists this ribosomal RNA (406 nucleotides) under uncultured bacterium. Its description in RNAcentral is "partial 16S ribosomal RNA". It matches the Rfam family "Bacterial small subunit ribosomal RNA", at positions 30 to 526 of the family's 1533-position model. The record is from RNAcentral.
AUUGAACGCUUGCGGCAGGCCUAACACAUGCAAGUCGGGCGAGUGGCGGACGGGUGAGUAAUGUAUGGGGAUCUGCCUGAUGGAUGGGGAUAACUAGUGGAAACGGUAGCUAAUACCGCAUACCAUCAGAUGAACCCAUAUGGGAUUAGCUUGUAGGUAAGGUAACGGCUCACCUAGGCUACGAUCCCUAGCUGGUCUGAGAGGAGGAUCAGCCACACUGGAACUGAGACACGGCCCAGACUCCUACGGGAGGCAGCAGUGGGGAAUAUUGCACAAUGGGCGCAAACCUGAUGCAGCCAUGCCGCGUGUAUGAAGAAGGCCUUCGGGUUGUAAAGUACUUUCAGUAGGGAGGCGUUACCGACAGAAGAAGCACCGGCUAACUCCGUGCCAGCAGCCGCGGUAAUUC